CCCGCGCGUGCCCCCGGCCGCCUGUGUGUCCCCCGCGUGUGCCCCCAGUUGCCUGUGUGUCCCCCGCGUGUGCCCCCGGCCGCCUGUGUGUCCCCCGCGUGUGCCCCCGGCCGCCUGUGUGUCCCCCGCGUGUGCCCCCAGUUGCCUGAGUGUCCCCCGCGUGUGCCCCCGGCCGCCUGUGUGUCCCCCGCGUGUGCCCCCAGUUGCCUGAGUGUCCCCCGCGUGUGCCCCCGGCCGCCUGUGUGUCCCCUGCGUGUGCCCCCGGCCGCCUGUGUGUCUGUCCUCCGCGCGUGCCCCCGGCCGCCUGAGUGUCCCCCGCGUCCCCAGGGAGGGACACAGCCCUCUGGGUCAGGCGCAGUGACCGUGGGUCCUGCUGCACACCUGGACGCCAGGGGACCGCAGCUCUUCAUCCUGCUCCUGGCUCGUUUAUUUGUAAGCUGCUUUAUCCAUUCGCCUGAGGUAGUGACAGUGUUACGGCGGGGUGGGGGCCGGCCCACGGGUGGAGCCCGAGCCUGCUUGCCACGCCAAAGCGCCGGCCCUGCUCCUGGGUCUCUGGUCAGAAGACAGCGCCAGCCAGCACUGCCCUGGGCACCAGGAACGGCCGGGGCGGCUGGACACCACCAGGGGGCGCCCCGGCCAAACAUCCAGACGCAAGCCCCCUGCGGCCCUAAAUCCUGCCCCAGACACACCGCGCCCCGCACAGGGGCCAAGGCCUCCCCCGGCGAGUGGACGUCUCUGCACACGGCAGGGCCCACGCACGGCUCCACGAUGGCCUCCGCGGACACGCGUGUGUGGAAACGUCCCCAGGUCUGCAGCAUACAGGAGGCGGGAAGCCUCCCAGCCCACAGCCCGGCCCGGAGCCAGGGUGUGCCGAGGUCCACGGGGGCGGGGGCGUCCCGCUCACCGGGAGGCUGUGGUCACCGCGUGGGCGGGGCUGCGCCUGUGGUGCGAGGCAGGCGUGGGCAGGCAGCGGCCACAUCUAUCCCCCACCCCUCGGGUUCCUGGCUGCAGGCUGUGCCCCCAUCCGUGCCUCACCCCAGCCCAGGCCAAUGUCCUAACCCCACCUGCAGUGACCCUGCUGGCCUUUGUCCCGCCUCUGCAGUGGCCACACCCCCUCCCCCCGAGCAGCUGGAGCCUCCCCUGGCGACGGGAACUCACCACGCACUCCUCACCCCUCCCCCGCUCUCCCUGCAAGGGUGGGGGCACUGGGGGGCAGACACCAGCCAAACCCAAACACCAGGAGCCUGCACCUGUCCCCCGACUCCGAGGCCAGAGACGCCUCAGAAAAACAAAACUGGGCCGCCGCCUGCAGUGCUGACGUCCCACCUGGCCGCGGGUUCGAGACCCAGCUGCUCCACUUCCGGUCCAGCUCCCUGCUAUGGCCGGGGGAAGCAGAGGAAGGCAGCCCAAGUCCCUGGGCCCCCGCACCCGCGUGGGAGACCCGGAGGACGCUCCUGGCUCCAGCCUGGCCCAGCGGAUGGAAGGCCUCUCUCUGUCUCUCUUUCAAAUGAACAGAAAAACAAUUCUUUAAAAACAGAGCCAAAACCAGACCCGCCCGGGCAGCCCUGGUGAGCCCGCCUGCCCACACGGCAGAGCCUGCCUCCCCUCUCCACGUCCCCCGCCUCUUGCCCAGGGGGGCUCUGAGCUCCGGGGCAGUGACCAGGCCGCUGCAGGUAUGGGCGUCACUGGCCUUGCUGUGCCCUCGGCGGCUGCUGGAGACGGGUGGGUGCAGGCAGCCCGUGCCAGCAGGAGGGGCCAGGCUGGGGCACCCAGGUGAGCAGAGCCGAGCGGGGGUGAGGCUUGGCAGUGGCCAGGCACUCCUGGACCCUGGCAGGGGCGCCCCCUGAAUGACAGCGUGACUGGUCCUGGGAGGGGGCUUCAGGGCCGCCACGGGGGUCUCUCCCCAGGGGCCCAUGCCCAGCCACGGGCCACCUGGCUGGAGACGUGGCCAGCGCUGCCUCCUCUGCCCCCAGGCUCCCAGGGCCCAGCUGCACCCAGGACAGCCGCCGAGCUGGGCAGGGACCCUGCUCCCAGGACACCCGACACAGCUCUGUCCUCAGCACAGCAGGCACCGCCCACAUCCCGUCCAGCUCCCCAUUGAUGGCCUGGGAAGGCAGUGGAGACGCCCCAGUGCCUGGGCCCCUGCACCCGAGUGGGGGGCUCAGGGCAGCAGCCGCACUAGCACCCGGGAAUUCCUGCCCCAGGCGGGAGACCGCGCAGAGCUCCGGGCUCCCGGCCAUGCCCUGGCCCAGCCCUGGCCGCUGCAGGCUUUGGGGACGGGAGAUUCUCUCAAAUGGACCGAAUAUUGUGGUACGUCCCACGCAGGGCGUUGCUUUUCGGUGAGAAGGUCCGAACGCAGACGCGGGUCCGGCCGCGCAGGCGAGCGCUCGCCACUCCCGGCCCACGGGCGAGAGGGACCAGGCCCCUUCGCGGCCCGCGGCGCCGCCUGCUGGCGAGGGCGCGCGCUGCAGCCGGGCGCGGGAUUCGGCUCGCGGCCAGGUCUCUCCCCCGCACGGGAGCCAGGUACCCGGGGUGGACCCGGGGGCCUAGGGCGGCCGCUUCCGCCCGACGUCCUUGCUCUCCAUGGCGAGAGGGGCCAAGCGGCAGCCCCGGUGCUCCGGGCCUCUCGCCCCGCGGCCCCCGAGCUGCUCCGGGGGUCGCCUGGUUUCCAGAAGUCUCUCGGGAAAGGAGGGUCCACGACACGUGUCCACCUGCAGACUCACGCACGGGGAAGACGCCCAGGAGAGCGCUUCAGGCGGCAGCCGCACGCCCCUACGCCUGGAGCCCUGGAUGCCGGCCGCGACCCCAAAGAGCCCAUCUCACGGCUGCACGCCCGGCGAGGCAGCCCGGAAACCCUGCUGGUGGACCCUGCCCGCCCGACCCAAGCCCACGCCUCGCACACACCUGGGCCAGAGCGGAGGGCAGUCCACCGCCCCGCCCCGCCUCCACACCGCCGGCCCCGCCCCCUCCAGGCUUGGUUUCCGGGCAGAGUUGUGGAAGGGGCGAGAACGCGCGCAAGGCUUGGAACAGGGGCCAAACCGGGGUUCCGGACGUCCACCAGGCUACCUGGCCUCGCACCGCGUUCGCACUCUACGUACUUCACGCGUGAGGCCCGCGGCCCCAGACCGCAGCGCCGGGGCUCGAAGUGCCCACGUGAGUCUCGUGACCAGUGCCCGACCCAACUAUGGCCCCCCGGACCCCGCUGCCCGCCCCCAAGAUGGCGCCUCGGCGCGCUGACGUCACGAGGCGGGUCCUCGGGCCGCCCCGCCCUCCGCCAGCCUCCCGGAAGCGACGCCCGAGGUGGACUGACGCGGAGGGGCGUGGGUGCGUCCCCGAGCCUGGUCAAUCCUGGGGACCGCGCCUCGGGCCCCGCUAACUGCAGGCCGCGGUGGCUCCCGAGCGCGGGCCCCGCACCCACGCGGGAGACCUGGUGGAGCUCCGGGCUGCAGCCCGGCCCGGCCGUCGCAGGCACCUGGCGGAGACCCGCGCGCGGCCUCCCCGCGCUCCGCGAGCCCGAGUGACCGAAAAUCCUUCCCGGCCGGCUCGUCCCCGUUCACCGGCGAAACGCAGCCCCUGUGUUUGCUCUGCGGGCUCGCUCAGUGCCACCACGUGGGAACGGGGACCCGCGAGCACCGCCCGCCAGGGGCCGGCUCCCUCCACCGCGGUCAGCCCGGCGUAGGCAGCAGGGACUUCCCGUCCACACCCCCAGGGGCCCUGGAGAGGCCAUGGUCCGGGCUCGGUUUCGGACAGAGCCCAGGCCUGUGUGCUUUCCAAAGGCCGGGCUGGGGGCGUUGGACCCCAGGCCAGGGCAGCCGUUUCUAGGCCAGAGGCCCCGUUAGCGACCUGACUACUCGCAGCCUCAGCGGUCAGCCAGAGCGGGUUCUCUGCUGCGCCAGGCACGGACAGUACACCCCCCAGGCCUCCCUCUGGGCCUGGGUGUGUUGGGGGUCCAGCCCAGCCUGGCUGGGAAGGUGAGGAGAGGCCCCCCACUGUGGACACGUGGUCUCAGCCCUUGGCACAGGAGCACGCUGUGGCCGUGACUAUGAGCCAUGCCACCGGGGCAGAGGGACUGGGCGCCACCCUGGAGCUGGUGCGGCCACUGCACGGACACCCCCAGCUGGGGGUUCCCACCAGCCCGGGGCCGGGUUCACCCACGGCUGCAUCACAGCCUAAACGUCCAGAGGUCCCAGGGCCAACCUCCCCACACCAUGUCCUGGCCACCUGGGGAGGGGGCAGCGCGCUGGACAGUCUGCGCACUGCCCAGGUGUCCCAUGGACCCACCCAGGAAACAGAUGCUGCUGCCACCCUCGGACCAGAGGCACCUGCACGUCCCACCCCUCAGCUGCUCUCUGCCCAGGGCAGUGUCCACCCCCACCCCACCGGAGGGGCUGCCAUCUGCCUGAGGUCGCUUUAAGCUCCCCACCUCCUAAAUCCAUAACAAAAAUAAUCCCUGCGCUCCCUGAUGUGCCCCAGUUCCAGAGCACGUCCUGAUCCAUCAGGCCCCGGGAGGCAAGGUGACCCCGUUCCACAGCCUCGCUGCAGGGGACGGGGGCUCGAGGGCCACCCCUGCAGGGUUCUGGGCUGAGCCCCAGGUGGGCUGCACCCGGGAGCUUGGCACUGCCCCCUGAGGCCCCUGUUGCUGUCUGGGGCCCCCAGCCAGGAUACAGCCUCGCAUACGCAUCCCCGAGGGCCCCGAGGGCCCCGUGGGCAGGAGGGGAGGAGCGUGGGAGAGGGGGCCUGUCCACAGACCAGCCUGGACCCUCAGCUCUGGGUGGGCGCUGACACGUGGAGCCCCAGAGCCCCCGAGGCUUCCGGCCACAGCUCGCUCACACCGACGGGGCAGACCCAGCAGCUUGCGCACCUCCCGGCACAGGUACCUGUGCGUGGGGCAGCUGCCCAGCUCCCCAGCCCCAGCCCAGCCCCGGAUCGGAGCAGGAGGCCGGGACAGGGAGCCACACACCCAGCAAGGCCUCCUGGCCCAAGAUGCCCGUCACUGGACAUCACAGACCUCCCACAUGCUGUCAGCUGCAGAGGCCACAGAGACAGAUCCUGACCCCGUCCCUGCUCUCCGAGGUGGCCAAGGAGGCACUCGAUGCCACCCAGGAAGCCCCUCACCCGGCUGAGACCGGGCCCCACUGGGGAUCCCUGGGCCGCGUGUCCCAUCAGAGGCUGGCAGUGUGCCCGGCCGAGCCGCGGGGCGGUGCCAGGGCCCCAGGUGGCGGGAGUGGGCGGGGCACCUGCCAGGGCUCUGCCUGCCUGGCCAGCCAGUCGGUGCACACACUCAGCUGCCGCUGCCCCCUUGCCGCACCGGCUCAUCGUCUGCUCUCAUUGUCACUCCAAGGUAAGGUGCUGAGAAGGAAGUGGGGACUGGGGGACCCCCCAUUUACCCAGCCCAGUCCACAGGGCGCAGGGGAGCAGCUGCCCUGUGUGCAGGAGCUGAUGGGGCCCCGUGCCCGCCGCGCCGUGUGCGUCCGCAGGGCGCCUGGAGGGCUCCACCGUGUGCAUUGGCAGAGGGGCCUGGAGGGCUCCGGCAGCAGCGGCUGCUCGCAGGCAGGGCUGGGGCUGCAGACGAGGCCUCCCACCCUCGCGGCUGUCCAGACUAGAUGGCUGUCCAGAGUGCCGAAACGCGAGUCUGCACGUCCCCCGUGUGCUGCCCAUCACCCCCCGGGAACCUGCCCCUCUCCCCAAGCCGCUCACCCCGCUGACCCCUGGGGCGGCUCCCACGUGACCAGAUCCUGGGCCCUCCCCCGAGAACCUUGCAGGAGAGGGGCCCCUUCCCAGCCCGGGAUGCCCCCCCAAUGCGGUGCCAGCGCCUGCAGCCCCUGGCCACCUCCCCAGAGUACAGAACACCGGUCCCCCACCUCCCGGGGGGACUGCAGCACGGGUCCCCCUGGGCCCGGCAGCCCCGCCCUGCCACUUGACCCCGUUGUGCUCAGGUGUCCCGGGAGACACCGGCACCGGGGCCACCCCAGCCCAGGUCCUGGACUGCCCAGUGCCCCGGUCCUCAGCGGCACAGCCCAGCCACCCCACCCCAUGCAAAUUGGAGCCAAAUCCUCCUGGCCCCGGGAUCCACCAGCCCAGGGUGGGGGCGGGGCUCUGCCCAGAUGCAAAUCAGAGACCGUCCGCUGGCCCCCACCUCAACCGGGGUGGGAAGUGGACCCCGACUGGGGAGGGCUCAGGGAGCUCCCAGCGGCCUCAGCACCCCCGCCCCCCCCAUCCGGAGGCAGGAGGAUGGAAAGUUCGUGUGCUGAUUAGCCCCGCGGGCAGGGGCGCCCCGGGGGACUCCAGGCAUCUGCCUGCGGCUCCCCUCGGCUGUGGGCAGGGGCGGCCUGGCCCCCAGGCUCCGCUGUCCUUUUGUGCUGGGCACGCACAGGCGGGAGGGGCACCUCCAGCAGCCCCGGCUCUGUUGCCUCCCCGCGCCCCCAGCUCCAGGCUGGCCGCCGCGGAAGCCCCCGACGCCAUGGAGGAGUGGGACGUGCCCCAGAUGCAGAAGGAGGUGGAGAGCCUCAGGCACCAGCUGGCCUUCAAGCGGGAGGCGUCCUCCAAGACCAUCCCCGAGCUCCUCAAGUGGAUCG
Molecule: non-coding RNA, 6575 nt
Organism: Oryctolagus cuniculus (rabbit)
Lineage: Eukaryota; Metazoa; Chordata; Mammalia; Lagomorpha; Leporidae
Source: RefSeq, a predicted model, not a curated record